Molecule: ribosomal RNA, 433 nt
Filed under: uncultured bacterium
Lineage: Bacteria
Description: partial 16S ribosomal RNA
Rfam family: Bacterial small subunit ribosomal RNA
Source: RNAcentral
AACGAACGCUGGCGGCAUGCCUAACACAUGCAAGUCGAACGAGACCUUCGGGUCUAGUGGCGCACGGGUGCGUAACGCGUGGGAACCUGCCCUUAGGUUCGGAAUAACUCCCCGAAAGGGGUGCUAAUACCGGAUAAUGUCUUCGGACCAAAGAUUUAUCGCCUUUGGAUGGGCCCGCGUUAGAUUAGCUAGUUGGUAGGGUAAAAGCCUACCAAGGCGACGAUCCAUAGCUGGUCUGAGAGGAUGAUCAGCCACACUGGGACUGAGACACGGCCCAGACUCCUACGGGAGGCAGCAGUGGGGAAUAUUGGACAAUGGGCGAGAGCCUGAUACAGCAAUGCCGCGUAAGUGAUGAAGGCCUUAGGGUUGUAAAGCUCUUUUACCCGGGAUGAUAAUGACAGUACCGGGAGAAUAAGCGCCGGCUAACUCCGUG